CUAUAGAAAAAGAUAAGAACAUCUUGCCCCAGUCAUGACUCUUCUACUUGGCUUGGUUGUUUUACAGGAUGAAGUCAUAAAACAAAAUGGAGUCACAUUUGCUUUUACUAUUACACCCUUGCCGCUUUCUGUUUUCUACCCUAACACCCUGCCUCUCAGCAAAACUCUGGCUGCUCUUAGACUACAGAAUCAGACAGAGGCUGCACAAGGGCUCUUCUACUUUUCUCACUCCUGGAAGUUAUCUAUGGUAUAUGUGCUAAACCUCACCAACCUCAGCCUUUCUUUCAAGAUGAGAAAACAGAGCCUCUAAGAUGUGUGGACUUGCCCAAGACAAGUGAGAAUUGGGAUUCCAACCUGUUUUUGUUCCACUACACAAUUUAAUCCAAACAUUAAAUUGUUGCCAUUUAUUUUCACUUCUCUAUACUCCUCUCCAAAUCCCAAUGUUAUAUGGCUAUUAUGAGAUAAUUUGCUUAGUCAUAGGAGUUUUCCUAAGAACUCUUUGGAAGGAUGCUUCAGUAUAGACAGUAUCUUCUGUCAUUUCUUAAUCAUAAAGUGCUAUGGUCUGAAUGUGUCUUCCCCCCGAGUUUAUGUUGAAACAUCAUCUGCAAUGUGGUACUCUUAAUAAGUAGUGCUUUAUGGAGGUGAUUAGUUCAUUAGGUCAUCACCUUCAUGAAUGGGAUUAGUACUCUUGUAAAUGAGACCUGAAGGAGCUUGUUUGCUCCUUCUUCCAUGUAAGGAUGCAGCCAGAGAUACAUCACCAGAUACUGAAUCCACUGGCACCUUGAUGUUGGAUUUCCCAGCCUCCAGAACUGUGAACAAUAAACAUUGCUUAUAAAUUA
Molecule: long non-coding RNA, 839 nt
Organism: Ictidomys tridecemlineatus (thirteen-lined ground squirrel)
Lineage: Eukaryota; Metazoa; Chordata; Mammalia; Rodentia; Sciuridae
Source: RefSeq, a predicted model, not a curated record